Budorcas taxicolor (takin) is the source of this 661-nucleotide long non-coding RNA. RefSeq lists it as uncharacterized. The record is from RefSeq and is a predicted model, not a curated record. The transcript is spliced from 5 exons. Lineage: Eukaryota; Metazoa; Chordata; Mammalia; Artiodactyla; Bovidae.
ACCCGUACGGGCGGGAGGCUCGGGCGGGCGCCCUGGCGCGGGAGUCGGGUGCAGGCGACCAGGAGGGGUCGGCCGCGGCGUUCGGACCCGGUAACUUACAAGAUUAAAAUUAAAUUUGGUUGACGAUGAUUCUGAAUACGCUGUUUUAUUUGAGGUAUGCCAUUUUGAAGACCGAGACCAUGGAAUUUUAUCCUUGAGGAUAAAUCUUUGUGAUAGUCUCUAUUUUGUAUAGCAAGAAUAUGAAUCCUGAAGCUGAAUUACCUAAGGGGCCUCUACACCGAAGUGAAAUAGAUGUUGGUGGAAGCAUUUACACCCAGUCAGCUUGAAGAGUCUCAAAUGGACCCUACCACUGAGAAAUCAAGAUGGCAGUCCACUAUGGGGAAUUGAGAAAAAUGGAUUAAUACAAGAGUGCUGUGAUAUUAUACAACCAAGACAGGGUUCUUUUAACAUGGAUUUCAUGAAAUGAAUGAAGAUAUAGGUUUCUUAACAGCACAAAUGGACAGUGAAUUUCACUUUCUAGAGACUUUUUGUAUCGUUAAUAUUUUUGACAUUUGGAGAAAAAGAUGGCACAUUAUUAACAGAUGAUAGUUUGUAUGCCUGGAAUUUUUUCAGUUUGAUUUGUAUGAGUAUGACCUUGUGGAAUGUUAACUUUAAUAAAAUU